Molecule: long non-coding RNA, 741 nt
Filed under: Homo sapiens (human)
Lineage: Eukaryota; Metazoa; Chordata; Mammalia; Primates; Hominidae
Description: HSALNT0222978
Source: RNAcentral
UGACAACCCAGAUUCUAUUAUCUCAUUUAUUAUCUAUUUUUGGAAUUUACCGGUAACUCUAACCUCCAGGAGAUGUUUCCCAGUGAAAGAGGAUCUGCUGGAGAUUCUUUUGAGAAAUGGUUUCUUGAUGGACUUUUGUUAGAGUUGUUGCAAGGUGAUGAAUAGACAAACUAGAACAAGAAUGAUUGGUCCUUGUUAUAAGAAAAAAAACACACAUUUAGCUUCUUAAGAGUACAUGUUGGAGAGAAUAAAUGGCAUCCUUAAAAGCCUUUAAAAGGACAAUAACUUUAUGAAGAGAUAAUCUCAUGUUUGAGAACAUAUGAUAAGGCGUUUUUCAUUUGUUUUAAUAUCAUAAAGACAAGCAUCUCUGACUGAUAAAGGGGAUGUAACCAGCCCACAAAGUCUGCAAAACCUAAAUCCACACACAUCUGUGCAGGACAGAGGAGCUUAUUACAAUAUUCAGUUUUCCUGCUGGGAAAAUUUGAAUCUGGAAGUACUACUAAAGAGACAUGCAAGGAGCACAUGAGUCAUGACAGUUCUGACGCCACGCUCAUGGUUACUGACUCGCAGGUGCUGGAGCAUUGGAGCACAGCGAAAAACCUGAAGUCACUCCCACUCUGGGAUGGUACAAUUCACAAAGCAGCAUUGUUCCCUGGAAUCUUGCUAACUGGAUGUCAACCCAGAUGUAUUUUUCAAUAUAUUUAACAAUAUCUGACCUGGAUCUCGGCAAGAGGAGAAGUA